Aedes albopictus (Asian tiger mosquito) is the source of this 297-nucleotide long non-coding RNA. RefSeq lists it as uncharacterized. The record is from RefSeq and is a predicted model, not a curated record. The transcript has 3 exons. NCBI's taxonomy places the organism in Eukaryota, Metazoa, Arthropoda, Insecta, Diptera, Culicidae.
AACCCGAACGGCGAUUGAUAACAGCCGUAGUGUUGUGUUCCGCUGAUUUCUUGUCUCGAGUGUCUCCCUUUCGUACCACCCACCCAAAAUCCCACUAGGGUGCUGGUGAUGAACGAGAAAAGUGCAGUGUCUUUUAGAAUCCGACAAACGAUCGUGUGCAAAAUACGAUUAUCACAAGUUGAUUAAGAUCGAGCCCUGAGGAAGAUCCCAACCCAAGGAUCGAAACGUUGGCAAUGAUAUAGAAGUAUCAACGCUUUUUCCGUGACUGAAAGCCGAAAAACUCCCAUAGUUAUAAAA